Molecule: ribosomal RNA, 216 nt
Filed under: Triticum aestivum (bread wheat)
Lineage: Eukaryota; Viridiplantae; Streptophyta; Magnoliopsida; Poales; Poaceae
Description: partial small subunit ribosomal RNA
Source: RNAcentral
AUGUGUGUACCAAAAGACCAUGGAGGAAUGGGCUUCCGAGGUAUACACUGUUUCAAUUUGGCUUUGUUAGCCAAACAAGCGUGGCGCAUGCUUGAUAACCCUGAUUCCCUAUGUGCCACCAUCUUGAGAACUAAAUAUUUUCCGGAUGGCGACCUAAUGAAUGCAAGUCUAAAAAAGGGUUCUUCUUUUACUUGGCAAAGCUUUAUGGCGGGAGUU